UACGUAGGGGGCUAGCGUUGUCCGGAAUCAUUGGGCGUAAAGCGCGCGUAGGCGGCCCGGUAAGUCCGCUGUGAAAGUCAAAGGCUCAACCUUUGAAUGUCAGCGGAUACUGCCGGGCUAGAGUCCGGAAGAGGCGAGUGGAACUCCUGGUGUAGCGGUGGAAUGCGCAGAUAUCAGGAAGAACACCCGUGGCGAAGGCGGCCCCCUGGGUCGGCCCUGACGCUGAGGCGCGAAAGCGUGGGGAGCGAACGGG
This 253-nucleotide ribosomal RNA is filed under the name uncultured bacterium. RNAcentral describes it as "partial 16S ribosomal RNA". It matches the Rfam family "Bacterial small subunit ribosomal RNA", at positions 524 to 776 of the family's 1533-position model. The record is from RNAcentral.